ACUGAAUAGAUACCCUGGUAGUCCCAGCUGUAAACGAUGCAGGCUAGGUGUUUGGACGGCCACGUGCCGUUCUAGUGCCGCAGGGAAGCUGUUAAGCCUGCCGCCUGGGGAGUACGAUCGCAAGAUUGAAACUUAAAGGAAUUGGCGGGGAGCACCACAAGGGGUGAAAGCUUGCGGUUUAAUUGGAGUCAACGCCGGAAAUCUCACCGGGAGCGACAGCAGUAUGAAAGCCAGAUUAAAGGUCUUGCUAGACGAGCUGAGAGGAGGUGCAUGGCCGUCGCCAGUUCGUGCCGUGAGGUGUCCUGUUAAGUCAGGCAACGAUCGAGACCCGCGUCCUCUGUUGCAGCCAGUUUUGUGCUGGGCACACUGAGGAGACCGCCACUGAUAAAGUGGAGGAAGGAGCGGGCCACGGCAGGUCAGUAUGCCCCGAAUCUCCCGGGGCCACACGCGAGCUGCAAUGGCAGGUACAAUGGGUUCCGACCUCGAAAGGGGAAGGCAAUCUCGAAAGCCUGCCGUAGUUGGAAUC
Molecule: ribosomal RNA, 526 nt
Filed under: uncultured bacterium
Lineage: Bacteria
Description: bacterial SSU rRNA
Rfam family: Archaeal small subunit ribosomal RNA
Source: RNAcentral